CUCCGCCACGGGGGGCAGCAGUAGGGAAUCUUCCACAAUGGGGGAAACCCUGAUGCAGCGACGCCGCGUGAGCGAUGAAGUAUUUCGGUAUGUAAAGCUCUAUCAGCAGGGAAGAAAAUGACGGUACCUGACUAAGAAGCCCCGGCUAACUACGUGCCAGCAGCCGCGGUAAUACGUAGGGGGCAAGCGUUAUCCGGAUUUACUGGGUGUAAAGGGAGCGUAGACGGCAGUGCAAGUCUGAAGUGAAAGGCAAGGGCUCAACCCUUGGACUGCUUUGGAAACUGUGCUGCUGGAGUGUCGGAGAG
RNAcentral lists this ribosomal RNA (305 nucleotides) under uncultured bacterium. Its description in RNAcentral is "bacterial SSU rRNA". It matches the Rfam family "Bacterial small subunit ribosomal RNA", at positions 334 to 656 of the family's 1533-position model. The record is from RNAcentral.